RNAcentral lists this ribosomal RNA (554 nucleotides) under uncultured archaeon. RNAcentral describes it as "partial 16S ribosomal RNA". The stretch from base 260 to 554 matches the Rfam family "Archaeal small subunit ribosomal RNA", at positions 517 to 770 of the family's 1478-position model. The record is from RNAcentral.
GAAAAAUUCCCUCGUCCGAGCCUUCCAAAACCCUGGUAGUGAGGGCCGUUUUCAGAGGGAGGAAUACUGGCGCAAGGUACCUUAUGGAACCCGGGAAGAAGGUAAGAAGGGUUACCUUUACGAGGGGGUAAGGAGAGUGAAAAUUCCUUGUAAUCCCUCUGAUGGGACCACCUAGUGGCGAAGGCAGUCUUACCAGAACGGGUUCGACAGGUGAGGAGACGAAAGCUGGGGGCACGAACCGGAUUAGAUACCCCGGGUAGUCCCAGCCGUAAACGAUGCUCGUUAGGUGUCAUGCANUGCGCUACGAGCNUCGACUGCAUAGUGGGUGCCGUAAGGGACAACCCGUGAACAGCGUAGNCCNNGCACAUGGGAAGUACCCGCUGCUUACAGCNCUAAUUAAGGUAGAGAGUGAAAUUCUUGUAAUCCCUCUGAUGGGACCACCGUAUGGCGAAGGCAUCUUACCAGAACGGGUUCGACAGUGAGGGACGAAAGCUGGGGGNACGAACCGGGAUUAGAUACCCCGGGUAGUCCCAGCCGUAAACGAUGCGUCGUUA